Phacochoerus africanus (Common warthog) is the source of this 373-nucleotide long non-coding RNA. RefSeq lists it as uncharacterized. The transcript has 3 exons. The record is from RefSeq and is a predicted model, not a curated record. Lineage: Eukaryota; Metazoa; Chordata; Mammalia; Artiodactyla; Suidae.
UCCGUGUCAAGGCUUGGCCGUGGCCAUGACAGCUGGGCCCGACUCGACAGAGCGUGGAGGCUUAGCAAAGCCAGGGCAGGGAGGCUGAUUCCUUUCUUCUCAGGAACUCAGAGACGGAAUCCAGGGAUUACGGCGACUUUUGCUCCAGCUACGUGGGGUUCUUGAGAGAUGGAUGUCGGAGAUGGUGGCAGUUUAUGCUCAGAUUUUGCCCUCAGAGUCUGCUUCUGAGGAAGCCCAAACUAGGUCACAACGGAAAGGAGGGAUCUGAGGAAGCGAGAGUCUGGAAGACACCGCAGGACGAGCAAAAACAAACCUAGUGGUUGCUGCUUAGGACAGAGAAAGGUGUUAUGUCCACACUCAUCAAAGUCUUCUU